AACGAACGCUGGCGGCAGGCUUAACACAUGCAAGUCGAGCGCUCUCUUCGGAGGGAGCGGCGGACGGGUGAGUAACGCGUGGGAACGUGCCUUCUGCUACGGAAUAGCCAUUGGAAACGAUGAUUAAUACCGUAUGUGCCCUUCGGGGGAAAGAUUUAUCGGCAGGAGAUCGGCCCGCGUUAGAUUAGGUAGUUGGUGGGGUAAUGGCCUACCAAGCCGACGAUCUAUAGCUGGUUUGAGAGGAUGAUCAGCCACACUGGGACUGAGACACGGCCCAGACUCCUACGGGAGGCAGCAGUGGGGAAUCUUGGACAAUGGGGGCAACCCUGAUCCAGCCAUGCCGCGUGAGUGACGAAGGCCCUAGGGUCGUAAAGCUCUUUCGCCAGGGAGAUAAUGACGUACCU
This 404-nucleotide ribosomal RNA is filed under the name uncultured bacterium. RNAcentral's name for it is "bacterial SSU rRNA". It matches the Rfam family "Bacterial small subunit ribosomal RNA", at positions 29 to 460 of the family's 1533-position model. The record is from RNAcentral.